GACGAACGCUGGCGGCGUGCUUAACACAUGCAAGUCGAACGGAAAGGCCCUGCUUUUGUGGGGUGCUCGAGUGGCGAACGGGUGAGUAACACGUGAGUAACCUGCCCUUGACUUUGGGAUAACUUCAGGAAACUGGGGCUAAUACCGGAUAGGAGCUCCUGCUGCAUGGUGGGGGUUGGAAAGUUUCGGCGGUUGGGGAUGGACUCGCGGCUUAUCAGCUUGUUGGUGGGGUAGUGGCUUACCAAGGCUUUGACGGGUAGCCGGCCUGAGAGGGUGACCGGCCACAUUGGGACUGAGAUACGGCCCAGACUCCUACGGCAGGCAGCAGUGGGGAAUAUUGCACAAUGGGCGGAAGCCUGAUGCAGCAACGCCGCGUGCGGGAUGACGGCCUUCGGGUUGUAAACCGCUUUCGCCUGUGACGAAGCGUGAGUGACGGUAAUGGGUAAAGAAGCACCGGCUAACUACGUG
RNAcentral lists this ribosomal RNA (468 nucleotides) under uncultured bacterium. RNAcentral describes it as "partial 16S ribosomal RNA". It matches the Rfam family "Bacterial small subunit ribosomal RNA", at positions 28 to 507 of the family's 1533-position model. The record is from RNAcentral.